Molecule: ribosomal RNA, 709 nt
Filed under: uncultured bacterium
Lineage: Bacteria
Description: bacterial SSU rRNA
Rfam family: Bacterial small subunit ribosomal RNA
Source: RNAcentral
AGCGGCGGACGGGUGAGUAACGCGUGGGUAACCUGCCCUAUACACACGGAUAACAUACCGAAAGGUAUGCUAAUACGAGAUAAUAUAAGAGAUUCACAUGGAUUUCUUAUCAAAGCUGAGGCGGUAUAGGAUGGACCCGCGUCUGAUUAGCUAGUUGGUAAGGUAACGGCUUACCAAGGCGACGAUCAGUAGCCGACCUGUGAGGGUGAUCGGCCACAUUGGAACUGAGACACGGUCCAAACUCCUACGGGAGGCAGCAGUGGGGAAUAUUGCACAAUGGGCGAAAGCCUGAUGCAGCAACGCCGCGUGAGUGAUGAAGGCCUUCGGGUCGUAAAACUCUGUCCUCAAGGAAGAUAAUGACGGUACUUGAGGAGGAAGCCCCGGCUAACUACGUGCCAGCAGCCGCGGUAAUACGUAGGGGGCUAGCGUUAUCCGGAUUUACUGGGCGUAAAGGGUGCGUAGGUGGUCUCUUAAGUCAGGAGUGAAAGGCUACGGCUUAACCGUAGUAAGCUCUUGAAACUGGGAGACUUGAGUGCAGGAGAGGAAAGUGGAAUUCCUAGUGUAGCGGUGAAAUGCGUAGAUAUUAGGAGGAACACCAGUAGCGAAGGCGGCUUUCUGGACUGUAACUGACACUGAGGCACGAUAGCGUGGGGAGCAAACAGGAUUAGAUACCCUGGUAGUCCACGCCGUAGCGAUGAGUACUAGGUGU